Molecule: ribosomal RNA, 873 nt
Filed under: uncultured archaeon
Lineage: Archaea
Description: bacterial SSU rRNA
Rfam family: Archaeal small subunit ribosomal RNA
Source: RNAcentral
AAGCCAUGCGAGUCGAAUGUAGCAAUACAUGGCGAACUGCUCAGUAACACGUGGACAACCUGCCCUUAGGUUGGGUAUAAAACCCGGGGAAACUGGGUAUAAUACCCGAUAGGUCUCGAUUGCUGGAAUGCAUCGAGAUUUAAAGCUCCGGCGCCUAAGGAUGGGUCUGCGGCCUAUCAGGUAGUAGUGGGUGUAGCGUACCUACUAGCCUACGACGGGUACGGGUUGUGAGAGCAAGAGCCCGGAGAUGGAUUCUGAGACACGAAUCCAGGCCCUACGGGGUGCAGCAGGCGCGAAAACUUUACAAUGCUGGCAACAGCGAUAAGGGAACCUCGAGUGCCAGGUUACAAAUCUGGCUGUCGAGAUGCCUAAAAAGCAUUUCAUAGCAAGGGCCGGGCAAGACCGGUGCCAGCCGCCGCGGUAACACCGGCGGCUCGAGUGGUAACCGUUAUUAUUGGGUCUAAAGGGUCUGUAGCCGGCCGGAUAAGUCUCUUGAGAAAUCUGGCAGCUUAACUGUCAGGCUUUCAGGAGAUACUGUCUGGCUCGAGGCCGGGAGAGGUGAGAGGUACUUCAGGGGUAGGGGUGAAAUCUUGUAAUCCUUGAAGGACCACCAGUGGCGAAGGCGUCUCACCAGAACGGACCUGACGGCAAGGGACGAAAGCUAGGGGCACGAACCGGAUUAGAUACCCGGGUAGUCCUAGCCGUAAACGAUACUCGCUAGGUGUCGGCCACGGUGCGACCGUUGUCGGUGCCGUAGGGAAGCCGUGAAGCGAGCCACCUGGGAAGUACGGCCGCAAGGCUGAAACUUAAAGGAAUUGGCGGGGGAGCACCACAACGGGUGGAGCUUGCGGUUUAAUUGGAUUCAACGCCGGG